ACCGGCAAACGGGUGAGGAACAUGUACGCAACCUUCCUUUAACUGGAGGAUAGCCCCUCGAAAGAGGGAUUAAUACUCCGUAAUAUAAUGAAGUGGCAUCACUUUAUUAUUAUAGCUCCGGCGGUUAAAGAUGGGCGUGCAACUGAUUAGAUAGUUGGCGGGGUAACAGCCCACCAAGUCUGCGAUCAGUAACUGGUGUGAGAGCACGACCAGUCACACGGGCACUGAGACACGGGCCCGACUCCUACGGGAGGCAGCAGUAAGGAAUAUUGGUCAAUGGACGCAAGUCUGAACCAGCCAUGCCGCGUGAAGGAUUAAGGCCCUCUGGGUUGUAAACUUCUUUUAUAUGGGAAGAAAUGUACUUUUUCUAAAGUGCCUGACGGUACCAUAGGAAUAAGCACCGGCUAACUCCGUGCCAGCAGCCGCGGUAAUACGGAGGGUGCAAGCGUUAUCCGGAUUUACUGGGUUUAAAGGGUGCGUAGGCGGACAGGUAAGUCAGUGGUGAAAUCUCCGAGCUUAACUCGGAAACUGCCGUUGAUACUAUUUGUCUUGAAUAUUGUGGAGGUAAGCGGAAUAUGUCAUGUAGCGGUGAAAUGCUU
This 599-nucleotide ribosomal RNA is filed under the name uncultured bacterium. RNAcentral describes it as "bacterial SSU rRNA". It matches the Rfam family "Bacterial small subunit ribosomal RNA", at positions 94 to 691 of the family's 1533-position model. The record is from RNAcentral.